GCGGAGGAAAAGAAACCAACAGGGAUUGCCCUAGUAACGGCGAGUGAAGCGGCAACAGCUCAAAUUUGAAAUCUGGCUCUUUUAGAGUCCGAGUUGUAAUUUGCAGAGGGCGCUUUGGCUUUGGCAGCGGUCCAAGUUCCUUGGAACAGGACGUCACAGAGGGUGAGAAUCCCGUACGUGGUCGCUGGCUAUUGCCGUGUAAAGCCCCUUCGACGAGUCGAGUUGUUUGGGAAUGCAGCUCUAAAUGGGAGGUACAUUUCUUCUAAAGCUAAAUAUUGGCCAGAGACCGAUAGCGCACAAGUAGAGUGAUCGAAAGAUGAAAAGCACUUUGGAAAGAGAGUCAAACAGCACGUGAAAUUGUUGAAAGGGAAGCGCUUGCAGCCAGACUUGCUUACAGUUGCUCAUCCGGGUUUUUACCCGGUGCACUCUUCUGUAGGCAGGCCAGCAUCAGUUUGGGCGGUAGGAUAAAGGUCUCUGUCACGUACCUCCUUUCGGGGAGGCCUUAUAGGGGAGACGACAUACUACCAGCCUGGACUGAGGUCCGCGCAUCUGCUAGGAUGCUGGCGUAAUGGCUGUAAGCGGCCCGUCUUGA
Molecule: ribosomal RNA, 592 nt
Filed under: Alternaria alternata
Lineage: Eukaryota; Fungi; Ascomycota; Dothideomycetes; Pleosporales; Pleosporaceae
Description: LSU rRNA
Rfam family: Eukaryotic large subunit ribosomal RNA
Source: RNAcentral